Molecule: ribosomal RNA, 484 nt
Filed under: uncultured bacterium
Lineage: Bacteria
Description: partial 16S ribosomal RNA
Rfam family: Bacterial small subunit ribosomal RNA
Source: RNAcentral
AUUGAACGCUGGCGGCAGGCCUAACACAUGCAAGUCGAGCGGAUGAAGGGAGCUUGCUCCUGGAUUCAGCGGCGGACGGGUGAGUAAUGCCUAGGAAUCUGCCUGGUAGUGGGGGAUAACGUCCGGAAACGGGCGCUAAUACCGCAUACGUCCUGAGGGAGAAAGUGGGGGAUCUUCGGACCUCACGCUAUCAGAUGAGCCUAGGUCGGAUUAGCUAGUUGGUGGGGUAAAGGCCUACCAAGGCGACGAUCCGUAACUGGUCUGAGAGGAUGAUCAGUCACACUGGAACUGAGACACGGUCCAGACUUCUACGGGAGGCAGCAGUGGGGAAUAUUGGACAAUGGGCGAAAGCCUGAUCCAGCCAUGCCGCGUGUGUGAAGAAGGUCUUCGGAUUGUAAAGCACUUUAAGUUGGGAGGAAGGGCAGUAAGUUAAUACCUUGCUGUUUUGACGUUACCGACAGAAUAAGCACCGGCUAACUUCGUG